GUACGUUCAUGCAUGCAUUAUUUUUACGAUAAAGAGAAGAUCAGCAUGGCCCCUGCACAAGGAUGACACGCAAAUUCGUGAAGCGUUCCAUACCUUU
Molecule: small nuclear RNA, 97 nt
Filed under: Sorex araneus (European shrew)
Lineage: Eukaryota; Metazoa; Chordata; Mammalia; Eulipotyphla; Soricidae
Source: RNAcentral